This 963-nucleotide ribosomal RNA is filed under the name Triticum aestivum (bread wheat). Its description in RNAcentral is "partial small subunit ribosomal RNA". Lineage: Eukaryota; Viridiplantae; Streptophyta; Magnoliopsida; Poales; Poaceae. The record is from RNAcentral.
AUGAGUACAGCACGACACCCGCAGACGGACGGGCAAACAGAGCGGGUCAAUCAGUGCCUGGAGACAUUCCUUCACUGUUUCGUCAAUGCAUGCCCAACCAAAUGGUGCGUCUGGCUUCCACUAGCGGAGUUCUGGUACAACACUUCGCCGCACUCGGCCCUGGGUACGUCUCCUGUUGAGGUCCUCUAUGGCCAUGCCCCUCGUCAUUUCGGCAUCGUCGAUCCAGUGGCAUGUACUUCUCCAGACCUGGCAGACUGGCUUCAAGACAGGGCGCAGAUGACGGCACUCAUCCACCAACAUCUGUUGCGUGCACGACAGCAGAUGAAGGACUCAGCAGACAAGCGCCGCUCUGAUCGCACCUUCGCUGUUGACGACUGGGUUUUCCUCAAAUUGCAACCCUACGUGCAGCGUUCGGUGGCCACCCGUGCUAAUCAAAAGUUGGCAUUUCGCUACUUCGGCCCGUACCAGGUUGUCCAGCGCAUUGGUGCCGUCGCAUACAAGUUUCGCCUACCGGAGUCCAGCACCAUGCAUCCAGUCUUCCACGUCUCCCAGCUCCGUCAAGCGCUACCGCCCACGGAGCAGGCGCAAGUUCAACUGCCAGCAGCAGCGGCUUCAAGUCCGGUGCCGGAAGAGAUCCUACAGGACCGUCAAGUCCAGCGGGGCGGCACUCAGGUACCACAGGUCCUGGUACGGUGGACAGAUCAACCAUCUGAACUUGCAACUUGGGAAGAUCGCAUGGAGCUGCUGCAACACUUUCCGAGGGCGCCAGCUUGGGGACAAGCUGUGUCUCAUGGAGGGGGGGAUGUCACGGCCCCUGACAUGGCGACCCCACCGACUGCAACCAAGACAGCUCCUGUUGGGCUGGAACGACCUCGCCGACAGCCCAAGCCCAACAGUCGCUUCCUGGCCCAAGUGUGGGAUACCACGGGCAGGGUUAAAGGGAGACCGAGCCCUCCUGCGUGA